GAGUUUUAUUCUUCCUGGGUCGAGAGGCCCGGGUAAUCUGUUGAACGUGCAUCGUGAUAGGGAUAGAUCAUUGCAAUUAUUGAUCUUGAACGAGGAAUUCCUAGUAAACGCGAGUCAUCAGCUCGCAUUGAUUACGUCCCUGCCCUUUGUACACACCGCCCGUCGCACCUACCGAUUGAAUCAUUCGGUGAGGAUUCCGGAUUUUGUUGCUUACGCUUUACGGCGUUUUUGACGAAAGAAGUUAUCCAAACCUCAUGAUUUAGAGGAAGGUGAAGUCGUAACAAGGUUUCCGUAGGUGAACCUGCGGAAGGAUCA
Molecule: ribosomal RNA, 315 nt
Filed under: Caepidium antarcticum
Lineage: Eukaryota; Phaeophyceae; Ectocarpales; Adenocystaceae
Description: SSU rRNA
Rfam family: Eukaryotic small subunit ribosomal RNA
Source: RNAcentral